GACGAACGCUGGCGGCGUGCUUAACACAUGCAAGUCGAGCGGUAAGGCCCUUUCGGGGGUACGACGAGCGGCGAACGGGUGAGUAACACGUGGGUGACCUGCCUUUAGUCUCUGGGAGUAAGCCUGGGAAACGUAGGGUCGUAAUACCGGAUAUGACUCCGCGGUGCAUGCUGUGGGGUGGAAAGCCUUGUGCGGCUGGAGAUGGGCCCGCGG
RNAcentral lists this ribosomal RNA (213 nucleotides) under uncultured bacterium. Its description in RNAcentral is "partial 16S ribosomal RNA". It matches the Rfam family "Bacterial small subunit ribosomal RNA", at positions 28 to 236 of the family's 1533-position model. The record is from RNAcentral.